RNAcentral lists this ribosomal RNA (520 nucleotides) under uncultured bacterium. RNAcentral's name for it is "partial 16S ribosomal RNA". It matches the Rfam family "Bacterial small subunit ribosomal RNA", at positions 28 to 523 of the family's 1533-position model. The record is from RNAcentral.
GACGAACGCUGGCGGCGUGCUUAACACAUGCAAGUCGAACGGAGAUUUUUAUUUCGGUAAAAAUCUUAGUGGCAAACGGGUGAGUAACGCGUAGGCAACCUGCCUUUCCGAUGGGGACAACAGUUCGAAAGGACUGCUUAUACCGAAUGAUGUAUAUCUUCCGCAUGGAGGACAUACCAAAGACGGCCUCUAUUUAUAAGCUGUCACGGAAAGAUGGGCCUGGGUCUGAUUAGCCAGUUGGCGGGGUAAUGGCCCACCAGAGCGACGAUCAGUAGCCGGUCUGAGAGGAUGAACGGCCGCAUUGGGACUGAGAAACGGCCCAAACUCCUACGGGAGGCAGCGGUGGGGAAUCUUCCGCAAUGGACGAAAGUCUGACGGAGCAACGCCGCGUGAGUGAAGAAGGUUUUCGAAUCGUAAAGCUCUGUUGUCAGGGACGAGCAGGGGGAGUAUCAACAACACUUCCUCAUGACGGUACCUGACGAGGAAGCCACGGCUAACUACGUGCCAGCCGCCGCAGUAA